GGGGGUGAACAGGGUUCGACGAGGGUGUUUGAGGUUCUGGUUGCAGGCCGAAGUCGUCCGAGCUUCGCUAAAAAACGGGCAAACCGUUAAACGCCAACACUGAGUUGGCUCUCGCGGCCUAAACAGCCGUGACGCUUGUCCCUGAACGCCGGCUACAGGGAACGAGCGCCAUUAGCCGGCUGGCCGCAUCCCGCGCGUUUCGUCGGGACCGGCGAGACCAUAACGGAGCUGGCGCAUGGGCGGUUCUGUCUAGGGACAACCCGAGCGCGAGACCAAGCCUAGGCUAAGCCUGUAGUGACCUGACCAAUGCACUCCCGGACGCGGGUUCGAUUCCCGCCACCUCCACCA
This 348-nucleotide transfer-messenger RNA is filed under the name Elusimicrobia. RNAcentral's name for it is "JADKHR01 sp016721625 Standard tmRNA". It matches the Rfam family "transfer-messenger RNA". Rfam says of the family: Bacterial tmRNA, also known as 10Sa RNA or SsrA, is named for its dual tRNA and mRNA-like properties. Its role is to liberate the mRNA from a stalled ribosome. To accomplish this part of the tmRNA is used as a reading frame that ends in a translation stop signal. Lineage: Bacteria; Pseudomonadati; Elusimicrobiota. The record is from RNAcentral. RNAcentral also lists the same sequence under 1 other name.